RNAcentral lists this transfer RNA (84 nucleotides) under Candidatus Shapirobacteria bacterium CG_4_10_14_0_8_um_filter_39_15. RNAcentral describes it as "tRNA-Leu". It matches the Rfam family "tRNA". From Rfam's summary of the family: Transfer RNA (tRNA) molecules are approximately 80 nucleotides in length. RNAcentral also lists the same sequence under 2 other names. The record is from RNAcentral. Lineage: Bacteria; Candidatus Shapironibacteriota.
GGGCUGGUGCUGAAAUUGGUAGACAGACAGGUUUUAGGAACCUGCGGUAGCAAUACCUUAGAGGUUCAAGUCCUCUCCAGCCCA